UACGAAGGGGGCUAGCGUUGUUCGGAAUUACUGGGCGUAAAGGGCGCGUAGGCGGUCUGAUAAGUUAGGUGUGAAAUUCCCGGGCUUAACCUGGGGGCUGCACUUAAUACUGUUGGGCUUGAAUCCGGGAGAGGAUAGCGGAAUUCCCAGUGUAGAGGUGAAAUUCGUAGAUAUUGGGAAGAACACCAGUGGCGAAGGCGGCUAUCUGGACCGGUAUUGACGCUGAGGCGCGAAAGCGUGGGGAGCAAAC
Molecule: ribosomal RNA, 250 nt
Filed under: uncultured bacterium
Lineage: Bacteria
Description: partial 16S ribosomal RNA
Rfam family: Bacterial small subunit ribosomal RNA
Source: RNAcentral